GUUCUCCCCGAAAUAGCUUUAGGGCUAGCCUCAAGUAGUAAGUAUAGGCGGUAGAGCACUGAUCGGGCUAGGGGCCAUAAAGGUUACCGAACCCUGUCAAACUCCGAAUGGUUAUACUGUAGAGCUUGGGAGUCAGACUACGAGUGAUAAGAUCCGUGGUCAAAAGGGAAACAGCCCAGACCACCAGCUAAGGUCCCCAAUGUCGUACUAAGUGGAAAAGGAUGUGGGGUCUCUAAAACAACCAGGAUGUUGGCUUAGAAGCAGCCACCAUUUAAAGAGUGCGUAAUAGCUCACUGGUCGAGAGACCCUGCGCCGAAGAUUACCGGGGCUAAAGUACGAAACCGAAGCUGUGGCUACGACGUAAGUCGUGGGGUAGGGGAGCGUUCUGUGAGGGCUGAAGUCGUUCUGUAAGGAACGGUGGACUUCACAGAAGUGAGAAUGUUGGUAUGAGUAGCGAAAAGAAUGGUGAGAAUCCAUUCCACCGAAAGCAUAAGGAUUCCUGGGCAACGAUCGUCGUCCCAGGGUAAGUCGGGACCUAAUCCGAGGCAUGGAGCGUAGGAGAUGGACAACUGGCAGAUAUUCCAGUACCGGUAAUGAUUGUUUGAGCGAUGGAGUGACACAGGAGGGCAGGCAGGCAGGAGAUUGGUUGUUCCUGUACAAGCGUGUAGGAUGGGACGUAGGCAAAUCCGCGUCCUGAGAGUCUGAGGCGUGAUGUGGAGGUUCCGGAAACGGAACUGAAGCUGCUGACCCCACACUGUCGAGAAAAGCUUCUAGUUAGAGAAUUACCGCCCGUACCGUAAACCGACACAGGUAUGCGGGGAGAGAAUCCUAAGGUGCGCGGGAGAACCCUCGUUAAGGAACUCGGCAAAAUGUACCCGUAACUUCGGGAUAAGGGUAGCCGCUGUUGUGAAGUCUGAACAGACGGAGCAUGAGGCGGUCGCAGAGAAGAGGCCCAAGCGACUGUUUACCACAAACACAGGUGCCUGCUAAAGAGAAAUCUGACGUAUAGGUGCUGACACCUGCCCAGUGCCGGAAGGUUAAGGAAGGAUGUCCGGAGCAAUCCAAAGCAUUCGACCGAAGCCCCGGUGAACGGCGGCCGUAACUAUAACGGUCCUAAGGUAGCGAAAUUCCUUGUCGGGUAAGUUCCGACCCGCACGAAAGGUGUAACGAUUUGGGCACUGUCUCAACGAGGGACCCGGUGAAAUUGAAGUACCUGUGAAGAUGCAGGUUACCCGCGACUGGACAGAAAGACCCCAUGGAGCUUUACUGUAACCUGACAUUGGGUUCUGAUACAUCACGUACAGGAUAGGUGGGAGGCAUGGAAGCGAGGACGCAAGUCUUCGUGGAGCCGCCGUUGGGAUACCACCCUUGAUGUAUCGGAAUUCUAACCGUAGGAGUAACGAAACUCGGGACAGUGUCAGGCGGGCAGUUUGACUGGGGCGGUCGCCUCCCAAAGAGUAACGGAGGCGCCCAAAGGUUCCCUCAGCGCGGCCGGAAAUCGCGCGAAGAGUGUAAAGGCAGAAGGGAGCUUGACUGAGAGCCAAACACGGCGAUCAGGUACGAAAGUAGGGCUUAGUGAUCCGGUGGCAUCCAAGUGGAAGGGCCAUCGCUCAACGGAUAAAAGCU
RNAcentral lists this ribosomal RNA (1626 nucleotides) under human gut metagenome. RNAcentral describes it as "bacterial LSU rRNA". It matches the Rfam family "Bacterial large subunit ribosomal RNA", at positions 852 to 2464 of the family's 2925-position model. The record is from RNAcentral.